GUGUUCCUUUGGCAGCAUAUAUACUAAGUUUGGAAUGAUAUAGAGAUUAGCAUGGCCCCUGCACAAGGAUGACACGCAAAUGUGUGAAGAAUCCUAAAGUACA
This is a small nuclear RNA of Dromiciops gliroides (monito del monte), 103 nucleotides long. The record is from RefSeq and is a predicted model, not a curated record. NCBI's taxonomy places the organism in Eukaryota, Metazoa, Chordata, Mammalia, Microbiotheria, Microbiotheriidae.